CUGGUUCGAUUCCGGCUCGAAGGA
Molecule: non-coding RNA, 24 nt
Filed under: Bos taurus (domestic cattle)
Lineage: Eukaryota; Metazoa; Chordata; Mammalia; Artiodactyla; Bovidae
Also listed under: 3 other names
Source: RNAcentral